This 72-nucleotide small nucleolar RNA is filed under the name Notamacropus eugenii (tammar wallaby). The record is from RNAcentral. Lineage: Eukaryota; Metazoa; Chordata; Mammalia; Diprotodontia; Macropodidae.
CCCUCCAGUGAUGAAAUGAAUACCGCCCCAGGCUGAUUGAUUCCAGUGACUGAUAGGUUGUUCUGAGUAAUG